RNA transcript from Triticum dicoccoides, 1885 nucleotides. RefSeq lists it as uncharacterized. Lineage: Eukaryota; Viridiplantae; Streptophyta; Magnoliopsida; Poales; Poaceae. The record is from RefSeq and is a predicted model, not a curated record. The transcript has 8 exons.
AAAGGGAUUGGGCAGGCGAAGAGAGAAAGGGAUUGGCCCCAAGUCCCCAUCCCCCGAUUCCUCUCCCUCUACCUUUCCCUCGUUGCCGCCGCCGCCACCGACGACCUCCCUGCAGCCGCCGCCAUCAGUCACGCCCUCCCCAAUGGCUGACUCUUCCACCCCUUUUCUCCUCCCCUUAACUUCUCCUCACCAUCGGCGACCUGUCCUCCCCCUCGCACCAGAUCGAGCAGCAGCUCGGGCAGGGCAGAGCGGACGCCGCCACCACCACUCAACGCCGGCCUCCCCCACAGCCGCCGCCACCACCCGCGCCCUCACAUCUGGCGCACCCACCCCUUCCAUCCUCUCCUCACCUUCUCCCCACCAACGACGACCUCCUCCCCUCUUCCUCGUCACAGAUCGACCAGCGGGUCCGGAUCUGAUGCAGGCUCAGAUCCGGCACACCCGCAGCGCUUGUUCCACUUGAGGACGUCAUGGACAUGGUGCUCUAGCACUGGUGCUGCAGUCAUGGACAAGGAGAUUAUCACUCUCUACCUCUCUGUGUUGAAUUAAGUUGGUGUUGCUGCAACCUCAACGCCCAAAUAAUCAGCCCUAACCCUAGCCCUUCCUUGGGCAUGGAAACCAAGCAGACGGGAGGUGCAUCACAGGUUGCUACCAUCUAAUGUGUGGAGAGAGCCGAGGAGAAUAUGCUCCGUUACCAUCUUGUGAAGGAGGAUGUUCACCAUCCAAGGUGCUCAACAUCACCAUCAUCUCUCGCUUGCCAAGGGCCAAUGCACAGCGGCCCAAGCUGUUCAUUGGAAUGAUCCUCAUCAUUAUCCUUACCGAAGCUCUUUGCCCUGUACGACCUCAUCGUCGGCAUCAUCUUCUCUUCUACGGUUCUACCUUGUGUCCAUUACUAUCUGGAGCAUUUGUUUUUUAGGAUAAAAUACAAGACCAAACAAGCCAGCCCAAUUGUCGGGAUGCUGGAUAUAGUGGUUGGAGUGUUGCAGCGGCGUCGUGGCAGCGGAUGGUAGCGAGGUAUUUGGUGCCCCGUUCUACUGCACCACCGUUUCCGAGUGGUCUUAUUGAUGGCAGUAAAGAAAUCAGCGGGGAUAGUAGGUUGUCUUCCUUGUCAACUACAUAUGUCGUCUUUGUUGUUGAUGUUGCUACUUCCCUCAGUUGCGAGGUCAGACUGAAUUAUAUGUUCCUGUCCAAGCCCUGUUCACUGGCAUUGCCUCUUGAUUCCCUUCUCAGAACAGAAGAUCCACGCUAAACAUAACAAGUUCAUUAGAGGAGCAAAUGUUGUUUAUCACCGCAUCUCUUCACAUGUUGACAAGCCCGAUAUUUAUGAAGGCACUAUACAAGGCGCUGGCGCCAUACCUGCUCGGUAUGGACAGGAGAAGAUGCAGGGGCUCCGCUUCUUGGCCUCGGUGACGUCCUCGUGCCCCUCCACCGCUGGUGUUGUUGCUCGGGCGGCACUACCGGUCUACUAUGGCAGGCCUGCUUGUUGCUCAGGUUUAAAGAAGAAUCAAGGAUCAGUUCAAUGGUAAUUGGACUGCUGAUGACACUUGUUUGAACACAUGUGAUCCUCAUAAUAGAGUUGCCGUGAGUACCUUGCAGCCUCGCUACUUCGUUUUGUCCUGUUUGAUGGAAUACUACUACGUUGUGUGCCCCUUUCGAUUUUGGCAUGACGAUUAGAGCAGAUAGCGUUUCUGCUGAGCAUGGCAUGUUUGUUUGUCUCAGGUUGUAAAUUUUCUUAUAAUUUUGUAAUUUUAGACCUUCCUCUUAUUAAAAGUAUCUUAGACCUUCCUGUAAAUAGAGAGGCAAAGUUUUCUUAUUAAAAAUAUUUGCAUUUAAGUUUGAAAUAUUUAUGUUGCAUCAGCUCACACUAUUAUUAUUUUUUGUAUAA